AACGAACGCUGGCGGCAUGCCUAACACAUGCCAGUCGAACGAGACCUUCGGGUCUAGUGGCGCACGGGUGCGUAACGCGUGGGAACCUGCCCUUAGGUUCGGAAUAACUCCCCGAAAGGGGUGCUAAUAACGGAUAAUGUCUUCGGACCAAAGAUUUAUCGCCUUUGGAUGGGCCCGCGUUGGAUUAGCUAGUUGGUAGGGUAAAAGCCUGCCAAGGCGACGAUCCAUAGCUGGUCUGAGAGGAUGCUCAGCCACACUGGGACUGAGACACGGCCCAGACUCCUACGGGAGGCAGCAGUUGGGAAUAUUGGACAAUGGGCGAAAGCCUGAUCCAGCACGGCCGCGUGAGUGAUGAAGGCCUUAGGGUUGUAAAGCUCUUUUACCCGGGAUGAUAAUGACAGUACCGGUAGAAUAAGCGCCGGCUAACUCCGUG
RNAcentral lists this ribosomal RNA (433 nucleotides) under uncultured bacterium. RNAcentral describes it as "partial 16S ribosomal RNA". It matches the Rfam family "Bacterial small subunit ribosomal RNA", at positions 29 to 507 of the family's 1533-position model. The record is from RNAcentral.